UCCGCCCGCACUCGAGCCCGCACUCGCGCCCCCACCCACCCACGCUGCUCUCUUCCCGGAUCCCCUCCCACGAACCCUAGCCUCCUGGUGACGCCACCCCUUCCUUCCCCCGUCCCCCUCCCCCCCGCGCGCCGCGAGCCCCUCCCUCCUCUUCGCGUUUCGGGCGGCCAUGGACGACUCCAUGAGCGGGACCACCGCCGUCGCGGCGCUCGUGGCCGGCGGCGCACUCCACGGGGCUCGGGACGUCCGCGACGGCGCGGGCUGUGGACCGAGAGGCAGGGCUCGGGACGUCCGCGGCGGCGCGUGCGGUGGACCGAGAGGCAGGGCCCGUGAUGCAUUCCGUUCGAGGGGCUGGUCGGGUUGGCGCGGGAUCUGAGCCACCGUCGAUGGAUUUCUCGCAGCUUGGCUCCUGUUGCUUUGGAUCCGGGCGAGGAGCCGCCGCCAUGUUUCUCCCCGAGCUCUGUGGUGGAAUGGUCUAUUUGUAUCAGAUUGUGUUUAGUGGAUGCGAAGAGCUCAGUUCUGGUAAGCUAGACCCUGAGGCGUGCAGCAGGUAUGUGGAGAUUAAGGAGCGUGCCCAUGUGAGCGGCUUCGAUUUUGUUGUGCCAAGAUCUCCGGUGGCAGGGAUUCACUUCUUUUUUUGGUGAUAGUCAGGAUUCAGUUUGAUGUUUCUGAAUUUUAACAAUCAUGUUUUACAGUACCCUUGACAUGAAUGAGAUGACUGGGCUUAAAUGAGAACGAUGAGAACCAUCCUGUUCUCCGUCGCAAUUAGCAUGUGUUUAAACUACUACUGCAGCAAAUGUUUGUCGUACCUUCAGUUUGUGCCGCAGAAUCUGUGUUUCAUUGGCACUUUUGUGUGUGUUUGAUUUAGUAUCUUUACCCAGGUGCUUGCUAGAGGAGAAGAUUAAUGGUCCAACACGGCUUCAUGAUUUAUGAGCUGGAGGAGAGGGCAUUGGAUGAACUAAUCAGUUCGAAGCUGUAGAGUUUGGAGGUGGAUGUUACUAAAGGGAGGAAGUUGAUCACAAGUUUUCUUUCAGCAAUUGGUGAGUUACAGUUUUGUUUCACUUUUCAAGGAUGAGUAUCUUUACUUUGAAAAUGAACUGGUCAUAUUUCUAUUGGAAAUGAAGUGAUGUUGCUUCCCAGGUAAAUAACUGAAUUCUCUUCUACUUUAGUAGAUUCAGUAACUUUUCUUUAGAGUUGUUGUUUAACAGUAGCACUACCCUUGAGUAACUAGAUCAAUGGCUGCCACUAUGUAAAUCUUAGUUCCAGUACAUAUGAUAAUCAUGGUUCUUCUGUCUUGGUCUGAUGAUUUUACACAUGCCAACAAGCAUCCAUGCGAUAUGUUCUUUACUUCUGCACCUAACAGCAUGUUUUCCCACAAAAAAGUACACGUGUCGCGGCAAUCAUGCGUUUUAUCAUCUAUACUACUAUUAAAAGAGCAAACAUAAACCCCUCUAAAGCCACCCAACAAAUUAUACACGGAGUAAUCAAGACCCUCCGAUUAAGUCAACUUAAACACAUCCUACAGUCUAUAUUACGCUAAUGAUGUAUCAACCAGAUCGACGUCUCAGAUGAAAAGUUCUGCCCAGCAGACGCCGUGGUCUGCCAAUCCUCUUCGCGCUUCGUGUCCCCCGCCCGCAGCUCGCGGAUAGAUUCCGCCCGUCUCCAUCGUUCCCCACCCCUCCCUCCUGGCCUCCUCUCUCCUCCUCGCCGCCGCUACAGGAGGCCGCCGGGCGAAGCUCGACCUGCGUCGGCGGCGCCGGGUUCGCUCUCCCUCGAGCGGCGUCAGCGACGCGGGAUGCGGCAGGCUCGGCCUGCGUCGGCGGCGCCGGUGUCCCUCUCCUCCGUCGAGCGGUGGCGGCGUGAGGCGCAUCAGGAUCGACCUGCGGCGGCGGCGGCGGCGGCGGGAUCACUCUCCUCCGUCGAGUAGCGGCGGCAGUGCGGGACGCAGCGGGCGGCGCAUCGCGGUAACCUAGCUCCUUCCCGUACAACCACUCCGUCCCCGUGCUCUAUUCUGCCCGACCCGACUAGGAUUCUGCCCGUCCCCGUGCUCUAUCCGCGCCUCACAUCCCCCAGCCUCCUCUCCAUGUGGCCCUGCGAUGCUGCCGCCUCGCUGUCCCCAUCGCUCCCCGUGCCGGUUGCAGCCUCCCCAACCCUCCUCUCCAUUCACCAGCUUCGCACGGUCUCCACGGCUGCUACAACAAUGUUCAUAUCCUAGAUUGACGCCGCAUGGGUAGCAGCUGGACCCGUCAUCAACCAGAACCAGGUAAUACAAAUCCGCCUAUGCGUCUUCUAUUCUUAAUCAUUGUUUCUAUACAGGUGGAGAGACAGCCCUGCUCGAGUUGAUGUUGCUUUAUGUGGUUACGAAUUACGAUCAUAGAGUUGUCAUCCUCGGUACCUUGGUCAUCCUCACAUGUCAACCCGCCAUCUAAAAGAAGCGACAUUGAGAAGAAAAUGGGUAGAAUGGUGUACCUGCUGAUGUGUUCUUUAUACUCCUAUAUGCGACUUGUUGGUUCAGAAUCCGUUAUGUGAUUACUACAUUAUCACAAAAUGUUAGAUGUGUUUGUUAACCAUGCAAGGUAAGUAAAUACCGCGUAAACAGAUCCCAUGCCUAUUCACCCCCGGCUCUACCCAAAUCCCCACCUUGAGCUCCUUCCUCAUGUGGAUAACCCUUGUCGAGUUCUAUAUAAUUGAUUGGAUAACCCAUGUGGAUUUCCGUAUAACUGCUUUGCUGUAAAAUUUGUCCAAAUCUAACUAAUGCAUGACGAUAAUUUCAAUCUCUUGUGUUCCUAGAUUUUAUUACAAGAUUAAUUACUGGGUCCUAUGAAUUUUUUUAGUAAAAGAUUUGUGAGUAUUUUUCUGCAUCGGGUACUAUGAAUUGAUAAAUGUUGGAAUGUUGACUAGAUUGUCUAUGCAUUGGUUGAAACAAACAGGUUUCUUUUUCUUUCCCAUUCUGUUGACGCUAACAACUUGAUCUGAUUACAUUUGCGUUUGCAUUACCAUUCCUCAAACAAACACAUCCCUAAAUGCUUUACUUGGUUUGGUCUUUUGGGGUAUGCCAGAUUUCUUUGUUUCAUUAAAGGAUAUUGGUUAUUAUGUAAAUUUGACCCUUAACAGUUCCUGACGGAAAGUAUAUAUGAACUCCUAAAUGUCUUGAAAUUUUGCAGCUCAUGAAAUGGAUCUCUGUUAUAGUGAAGGAACCAGAGGGAAGGAUGCUACUGUCUUAGCAGUGGUGUUGAUACUUAAGCACUCCACCUAUUCUAAUUUUUUUGUACCUUUUCACAAAUAACUAUCAAACUUAUGUAUUGUCAUGCAACCUAAUCUGUGUUCUCCAUUGCAUCAGCUACAAUUUUUUUUGAGAAAGAGACUAAAAGGCGUAUAGAUGAGUAACAGAUAUGAAAAAUACUUGUAUACAUCAUGUCUUGGAUAAGAAACAGUAUGAAAACUUCAAUGAAAAAUUGUUAGUCAAUAUCAAACAGCCGCAACUAUCCUGAUUUGACGACGCUUAUGCCAAUUCAGUUGUUGUAGCAGAGUAUUGAUCUAAUACUCAUCUGUAUAUAUCUUUUUAAAUCUAAUAAGUGAACGGAUGGUCAUGAAGUGAUGUUUAAUUAUCAAGAUGUGAACUUGUUCUUUCGACAGGUGAUUAUGUGGAGCUUGUGAAGGAAAAAGGCAAACCAACAAGCUUGGGCAAUCGUCUAUUGGCGACAACCUGGUAUAGAUGACCUACCUAUUGUUAAUUUUCCAACUCUCACUUUGUAGGUCUGCAAUUGUAUCUCCUGUACUAAACAAGAGAGCAUUUAAAUUUGACGCCUACAAAUUUGUGGCUUGCUGCAUAGGGGUUUUCCAUAUCUACAUUCUAAUAUUCUCCAUAUUUUUUUAUUAACGUUCAUAUCAAAUGUUUGUGGUAUGUAGGUUCAAUAGUUGACAAAAUUGAAUCUCUCUUACCAGCUAUGACUUCAUGGUCAAUAUAUAUACAUGUGCAACAUCCAAAAAGAGAGAUGUCAUCAAACUUCUCAUUAACUUUUUCCGGUUCUACUUUCUCCUUUACUGUUGAAAGCAUAUGGAGUGCUAUCAAUCAAUAUGAACAACUUCCUGCCGCCUCUCUUCUGUUGGAUUGCUUUUUUUUCUGAAAAUAUUUGGUAACUCAAUAUUUUUCUCUUAAUUCAUGAGAUUAUAUAGUGCCAAGAUUUUACUGGUUUCAUCUUGCGUGUUUGUGCCAUCAUGAGUUUGUUCUUUCUGCGGGAAAUGGCUAUAUGACUUCAGAUCUUGAUAAUUAAUUUCGGAACUUCGAAAAUUCUGGAGAUGAAGAAUGUGUCAGUAACCUAAAACACAUAUUGAAGUAUCAUUCACCGAGUAGUGCUCAGAUGGUAACUUGGACCAAUUAGGAUGUAUACCUGAAGGAGUGAAUCUACUGGUUCAGCUGGAAAUUGAUCUCUAUUUGGUUUCUGUUUUUGCGUUUGGUUUUGCCGGCUGCUCGUCCUUCGUAUGCUCAUCCAUCUUGGCUGCUCUGCUUGCCUGCUUCUCCUCUCUAACUCAGGUUCUGCGAUCUCUUGUGUUGCUGCGUCCCGAUCUUCUGCUUUGUUUCAUCUCUGUUCUGUCAUCGAGAUCUGGCACGCCAUCGUGUAUUGUUCGGCCUCGUCCCACUUAUAUGUCAUGCUUGUGUGUGAACAGAAUGCGUCCGCUUAUUUCAGUCGUUAUACAUGUUUUGGAGGUCGUGGUGGCGGCGUAGUGCGGUGUGCUUUAUGACGCUUUCGUACCUGUAUGAGGUUGCAGAGGACGUGUCUGUACUUGCUGGGGUAGAAUUCAAAUUGUGAGGGAUGGUUGUGCUUAGAUUUGGUCGCUGCUGGUCGGUUCUUGAGUUCAGCGCAUGAAAACCUGCAACUGCUAUCAAGCGAACCACAGGAGGGAGCAGCAGGCAUAGAAGAAAUCCCAAGCCAAUUUUGCUCAGCUGUAGCAUCUUCCACGGACAAUAAGUCUGCACAGCAGCCUGGUGAGGCUGAUGUUCUUGCUUAAUAUAAGCCAACAAUGGAGAAACGGACCAAGCUAUCUUUCAUGAUCGGUUACACACCAAGCCUAUGUUUUUGUUGCUUCUACAUGUUGCUAUGAUGGUCAUUCAGCCCAUUUUCUUGAACCUGCACUACAACGAGAGAUCUGGGCUGCUUCUUUGUGGCUUCCAAACUUGAAAUGUUUGUUUGGAAGUUAGUUUAGAUUUUUGUUGUGGAUUCACAACUUCUCACAUGUACCAUCCUCUUAGACCUUUAGAUUUCCAAAGAAACUAAAUGAAGAUAUGGUGGUAUGGUCUCAAUAGUAGAACUUAAAGCCUUCCAUGCUUUAUAUUUUCUCUAAAA
This is a long non-coding RNA of Triticum aestivum (bread wheat), 5345 nucleotides long. RefSeq lists it as uncharacterized. The record is from RefSeq and is a predicted model, not a curated record. Lineage: Eukaryota; Viridiplantae; Streptophyta; Magnoliopsida; Poales; Poaceae. The transcript is spliced from 9 exons.